GAUGAACGCUGGCGGCGUGCCUAGUACAUGCAAGUCGAGCGAACGGACGAGAAGCUUGCUUCUCUGAUGUUAGCGGCGGACGGGUGAGUAACACGUGGAUAACCUACCUAUAAGACUGGGAUAACUUCGGGAAACCGGAGCUAAUACCGGAUAAUAUUUUGAACCGCAUGGUUCAAAAGUGAAAGACGGUCUUGCUGUCACUUAUAGAUGGAUCCGCGCUGCAUUAGCUAGUUGGUAAGGUAACGGCUUACCAAGGCAACGAUGCAUAGCCGACCUGAGAGGGUGAUCGGCCACACUGGAACUGAGACACGGUCCAGACUCCUACGGGAGGCAGCAGUAGGGAAUCUUCCGCAAUGGGCGAAAGCCUGACGGAGCAACGCCGCGUGAGUGAUGAAGGUCUUCGGAUCGUAAAACUCUGUUAUUAGGGAAGAACAUAUGUGUAAGUAACUGUGCACAUCUUGACGGUACCUAAUCAGAAAGCCACGGCUAACUACGUGCCAGCAGCCGCGGUAAUACGUAGGUGGCAAGCGUUAUCCGGAAUUAUUGGGCGUAAAGCGCGCGUAGGCGGUUUUUUAAGUCUGAUGUGAAAGCCCACGGCUCAACCGUGGAGGGUCAUUGGAAACUGGAAAACUUGAGUGCAGAAGAGGAAAGUGGAAUUCCAUGUGUAGCGGUGAAAUGCGCAGAGAUAUGGAGGAACACCAGUGGCGAAGGCGACUUUCUGGUCUGUAACUGACGCUGAUGUGCGAAAGCGUGGGGAUCAAACAGGAUUAGAUACCCUGGUAGUCCACGCCGUAAACGAUGAGUGCUAAGUGUUAGGGGGUUUCCCCCCCUUAGUGCUGCAGCUAACGCAUUAAGCACUCCGCCUGGGGAGUACGACCGCAAGGUUGAAACUCAAAGGAAUUGACGGGGACCCGCACAAGCGGUGGAGCAUGUGGUUUAAUUCGAAGCAACGCGAAGAACCUUACCAAAUCUUGACAUCCUUUGACAACUCUAGAGAUAGAGCCUUCCCCUUCGGGGGGCAAAGUGACAGGUGGUGCAUGGUUGUCGUCAGCUCGUGUCGUGAGAUGUUGGGUUAAGUCCCGCAACGAGCGCAACCCUUAAGCUUAGUUGCCAUCAUUAAGUUGGGCACUCUAAGUUGACUGCCGGUGACAAACCGGAGGAAGGUGGGGAUGACGUCAAAUCAUCAUGCCCCUUAUGAUUUGGGCUACACACGUGCUACAAUGGACAAUACAAAGGGCAGCGAAACCGCGAGGUCAAGCAAAUCCCAUAAAGUUGUUCUCAGUUCGGAUUGUAGUCUGCAACUCGACUACAUGAAGCUGGAAUCGCUAGUAAUCGUAGAUCAGCAUGCUACGGUGAAUACGUUCCCGGGUCU
This 1372-nucleotide ribosomal RNA is filed under the name uncultured bacterium. RNAcentral's name for it is "bacterial SSU rRNA". It matches the Rfam family "Bacterial small subunit ribosomal RNA", at positions 28 to 1381 of the family's 1533-position model. The record is from RNAcentral.